GUCAGCUAUGGCGGCGUCCCGGUCGGCCGCGCGCUGCGCGACAAGGUGGCAUGGUACGGCGAAGCCGAACUGGUGCCGCAUCUGCUGAACAUCCUAGCGACCGGCGCUGUCGACGUGACUGUCAGUUGGGGCGAAGCCGUUGCGUAUGGCAUGACUGCGAACCGCAAGGACAUCGCGCGGGAUGCCGAAACCGCAGUGCGGCGAAUGACAGCGCGCGCUUUGCGCUCGCCUCCGGGAAGAAGGACUGGCUCCUGCCGUCCCAGCCUUCGACCAAACCUGACAGGUAAGAUCAUGG
Molecule: unclassified non-coding RNA, 295 nt
Filed under: Hevea brasiliensis (rubber tree)
Lineage: Eukaryota; Viridiplantae; Streptophyta; Magnoliopsida; Malpighiales; Euphorbiaceae
Source: RNAcentral